GUUCCGGUAAAAAUCGAGUUGAAUGAAUCGCCACAGCCCCAACGUAUAUCGCGCAGUGUUGACCAAGACCAAGUCCAGCAGGAAUUCUGGCAUGGUAUGUGGCUGCACGGAGGAUUCCGAAAAAGAAAAACAACAACAUGGCUAAUAGGAUGUUGCUGCCCAGGGAGUCCUGGCCGAAGAGGUUUACUCAUUCCAGAAGCAAGAAUUGUACAAUUGUAAGGCGAAUGGAAAUAAAUUGACAUCGACUGA
This is a long non-coding RNA of Ornithodoros turicata, 249 nucleotides long. RefSeq lists it as uncharacterized. Lineage: Eukaryota; Metazoa; Arthropoda; Arachnida; Ixodida; Argasidae. The transcript is spliced from 3 exons. The record is from RefSeq and is a predicted model, not a curated record.